Saccostrea cuccullata (small rock oyster) is the source of this 415-nucleotide long non-coding RNA. RefSeq lists it as uncharacterized. The transcript is spliced from 3 exons. Lineage: Eukaryota; Metazoa; Mollusca; Bivalvia; Ostreida; Ostreidae. The record is from RefSeq and is a predicted model, not a curated record.
CACUUUCCUUUUGUUGGUUAAAAUGAGGGCGACCAUAUAUGGCCCCUAUUGAUGUUUUAUUAUUGCAUAAGUAUUCGUUUGAAAGAAAACCCAGUUGAGUAAGAAACUUUAAAUCACAUUUGCAGAUGAGGAAAAGGUGUUACAACAUUUAAAUGAUCAGAUAUAUAAAAGGGAAACAUAACAAGGAAAACACAAAAGGGGUGUUGAAAAUCCACAGAUUUGACAAGGAAAUUAAACAAAUUGCAAAAAAUUCUUCAACUUACUAGUUGUUGGAAAAUGGAGCAAGAUUCUCUUUCCGUACUCAGGCGAUGGAUUGAUUAUAUAAAGGAAUUAAAAAGGGAAAAUGCUAGAAUAGAGACACUAGUGAAAAGAAAUUUCCAGAUAGAUAAAUAUUGCCAAGAAAUGAACAAACGGA